Antechinus flavipes (yellow-footed antechinus) is the source of this 1080-nucleotide long non-coding RNA. RefSeq lists it as uncharacterized. The record is from RefSeq and is a predicted model, not a curated record. NCBI's taxonomy places the organism in Eukaryota, Metazoa, Chordata, Mammalia, Dasyuromorphia, Dasyuridae. The transcript is spliced from 4 exons.
CUAGGCCAUGUAACUAAGAGACAUACGCUUAUAAAGAAGUGGGUCCCAACCACAUCCAUCCAUAUGAACUAGGUGAUGAUGGACUACUCCUCAAAGAGAGAAGAUUUCAUUCAGCUGUGUCUAACUGGUUGCUUAGAAGUUGGAAAAAAUACAAAUGCAGAGAAAUGAAAUCUGAAAACUGAGGCCAGGAGAGAUAAUCUGUCUUUUCCAAAGAUUCACAAUACAUUAUUUACAAAGCUGAAAUCAGAGACCAAAUUUGGGUAGUCCCAGGUCACAGAAAAGGACCCAGAGGAAGGCGAAAUAUUAGAUGACAUAGACCUCUAAUUUUGUAGAGAAAAACAAAACAAACAAACAAACAAAAAAAAAAAAAAAAAAACUUGCCAUCCAAAUAAGUGAAGUGACUUGAUCUGGAACCUGCAUAUAUGAAGAGCAUAAUUCGGAUUGAAACCAGAUUUCCUGAUGAUAGACCAACUGCUAUUUCCAUUAAGCCAUGUUUACUGUCUCUCCUAAGCAUAUGAAGUAAAUGGUUCAAGGGUUGUCAAGCUUCACCAUUAAUUGGCCAGACUGACGAUAAUGAGUUCCUCCCUACUUGCUGUGGCCGAUCCUCAGAAAAGUGAUUCAGUCUAUUGUGGAGACCACAGUUGAAUUCUUCCCAGCUUGACAUAUGCCGCCAACUUUUGUCAUCCAUUGACAAGGCCUUUGAUAUUCCAGGGUCACCUUCGUACCGUGAAGAGAUUUCAUAAUACUGCUUUGUGGAAAAAAAUUCAAGGUGAUGUAAAAAGUGAAUGGAAGAACUGGUGACAGGAGCAAUUUGAGAAAGGAAGACACCAAUCAGAGAGACGUCCUGGAGUUACCAAGUCUUCCUGAAGCAGCAAGAUGAUUCAUGGACUUGACCAAACAGCUUGAAAUCAGAAAGAGCUGAGUAUAAAUUCUAUGUAGUUAUGUGACCUUAGGAAAGUUAGUUAAACUGUAUCUGACUCAGUUUCCUUAGAUGUAUAAUGGAGAUAAUAGUGUCUACUUCCUGGGAUUGUUGUGAGGAUCAAAUGGAAUAUUUAUAGUUCGUAGCAUGAACUAACUAUU